AGAUAGUGAGAAGGACAGAGAGUUGAAAGAAAAACUGCAACUAAUGAAUGUAUGCACUAAUGACUAAUCUUUAUAGUAAGUAUGUAAUCAUUGUAUUGAUGAAGAUUGCCCAGCAUUGAGCAAGCACAUUGUCUCAUACUAAUAUCACAUGCAAAUGUAACCAACGAAAUAUAUGAAAGUAAAUUGUUUGGGGAGAUUCAUAAAUUGUUUGGACUGAUUCUUUAGCGAAUACAGCUGCCAGUUCCAACCAGUCAAGAGCUUCUAAAAAUCAUCUACAGACACCUUAAGCAGAAUAUUUAGAGUUACCGGAUAAAAUACCAUCACAAGGUGCAACCAGUAAUAUUGGACCUGCUGCCAGAAACCAGUAAUUGCUUAUGCUAAUUGGUUUUGCCUGCUUAAGUAGAAACUUUAUACACAAAGGACUCCACUAGAACUAGAGGUAUCAAACCAUAUAGAAGGUACAACACAUACAAUUUCCUUUUUAACAAUUAUUCGAAAGAGAGAAGAGGUAGGAAGGGUCAGUCUGAAUUAAAAGCUUAAUGAACAUAUGGCCCAAAAUAGACAUCCAGACUUCAUACAAAUAGUUAUCCAACCAUUGAACAACCUGCCUAGUAUAUUGCUCCCGUGAAGUCCACAUUAGCAUCGAAGGUGCAAUUGCUUCCAUUUCCAUUUAAUAGUCUAUUCGGCCUUCUUAAUACAAGCCUCCAGAUCAAACAAAAUUACCAGCUAAUAACUCCCCAAAAUAAGAGAAUUGAUGCAAACAGAGAAAUUUCAAUUUCAGGCAGAAAGAGAUUACACAAAAUACAACUGUUUGUACCAGUGUGCACGCAAGUCCUACAUUAAUCAAUACUCAUUCUAGGAAGUUAAUGUAUAAUGAACGCAUAAAUUCAACUCUAAAAGAUGUUUGAUCUUUGAUACUUGAAAUCAAUAGAAAAGAAAACACAUCCUACAUAUGUUAGCACCAUCAACUUGAUAGCUCUAUCCAGAGUAGCUCGGCCAUCAUUGGGAAGAGUCUAGUCCUCUUACUGAAGGCCAUAAAUUGGGUCACAACGAAGCUGGAGAUAUCAACAGAAUCCCCCUCAUUAGUUGCAAACAUUUGCAAGACCUGGCUACACAAGAUAAUCAUUCUUUGAAAUAACAAACAAGGUUUACUCACUUAGCCCCUCAAAAAAUUUUAUGAUCAAGAAUGACAGUGAGAUACACAUAUAGCACCAAGAUAGCCAUAAGUCUCAAGAAUCUUAAACCUGCUAUGAUCAACAAUGAACUAAUUAAGGACAAUUCACUUCAAAUGCAAUUACAUUUACAUCAAAUGCAAACCAGUCCUCUCACCAAUAGCACAAAUUACCGAUCUUGAUAAAAGAUCCAAUCUGAACUAGAAGGCAACCAAAAACAAACUUAGAAAUUAGUCCAUUCCUCAAACAAGAAAAAGAAAAAACAAAAUACAAUACAACACCAUAAGAACAACAAUGGCAACCACUUUAUAGAUUCUAUUUCAGACUAAGAUAAAGCAGGUGAUAGUAAACUUAUGCAUAAACUAAUUCAACUCAAAAUGCAUCUACUGUCUAACUUAACUUCUACAAACCAUAUUAUUCUUAGUUAAAUAAGCAUACCCAAAUCACACUCGUAAAAAUCAAAUUACAGAUAAUCCACUGAUACCAUUCAACAAAUCCACCAAACAAAAUCAAGAAAGCAUAUCCGUAAAAGAAAAGCAAAAGCAGACUUAAGAAAGAUUACCAGAGAAUAGAAGAAUAUUAUCAACAAAAGAUAGGGGUAGAAUCUGCAAUACCCAGAAAGCAAUUUCAAGAUUCAGAUCAAAAUGGAUACCCACUGAUUGUAUUCUGUCUGUCGGUAAGCUAAGACAAGUAAAUUAGGUGAGAGAGAGAAAAGAGAAUUUCAAGAAAGCUUUAAAAAAAGGGGAAGGUGCAAUUGCUUCCAUUUCCAUUUAAUAGUCUAUUCGGCCUUCUUAAUACAAGCCUCCAGAUCAAACAAAAUUACCAGCUAAUAACUCCCCAAAAUAAGAGAAUUGAUGCAAACAGAGAAAUUUCAAUUUCAGGCAGAAAGAGAUUACACAAAAUACAACUGUUUGUACCAGUGUGCACGCAAGUCCUACAUUAAUCAAUACUCAUUCUAGGAAGUUAAUGUAUAAUGAACGCAUAAAUUCAACUCUAAAAGAUGUUUGAUCUUUGAUACUUGAAAUCAAUAGAAAAGAAAACACAUCCUACAUAUGUUAGCACCAUCAACUUGAUAGCUCUAUCCAGAGUAGCUCGGCCAUCAUUGGGAAGAGUCUAGUCCUCUUACUGAAGGCCAUAAAUUGGGUCACAACGAAGCUGGAGAUAUCAACAGAAUCCCCCUCAUUAGUUGCAAACAUUUGCAAGACCUGGCUACACAAGAUAAUCAUUCUUUCGAAAUAACAAACAAGGUUUACUCACUUAGCCCCUCAAAAAAUUUUAUGAUCAAGAAUGACAGUGAGAUACACAUAUAGCACCAAGAUAGCCAUAAGUCUCAAGAAUCUUAAACCUGCUAUGAUCAACAAUGAACUAAUUAAGGACAAUUCACUUCAAAUGCAAUUACAUUUACAUCAAAUGCAAACCAGUCCUCUCACCAAUAGCACAAAUUACCGAUCUUGAUAAAAGAUCCAAUCUGAACUAGAAGGCAACCAAAAACAAACUUAGAAAUUAGUCCAUUCCUCAAACAAGAAAAAGAAAAAACAAAAUACAAUACAACACCAUAAGAACAACAAUGGCAACCACUUUAUAGAUUCUAUUUCAGACUAAGAUAAAGCAGGUGAUAGUAAACUUAUGCAUAAACUAAUUCAACUCAAAAUGCAUCUACUGUCUAACUUAACUUCUACAAACCAUAUUAUUCUUAGUUAAAUAAGCAUACCCAAAUCACACUCGUAAAAAUCAAAUUACAGAUAAUCCACGGAUACCAUUCAACAAAUCCACCAAACAAAAUCAAGAAAGCAUAUCCGUAAAAGAAAAGCAAAAGCAGACUUAAGAAAGAUUACCAGAGAAUAGAAGAAUAUUAUCAACAAAAGAUAGGGGUAGAAUCUGCAAUACCCAGAAAGCAAUUUCAAGAUUCAGAUCAAAAUGGAUACCCACUGAUUGUAUUCUGUCUGUCGGUAAGCUAAGACAAGUAAAUUAG
Molecule: long non-coding RNA, 3144 nt
Filed under: Capsicum annuum
Lineage: Eukaryota; Viridiplantae; Streptophyta; Magnoliopsida; Solanales; Solanaceae
Description: long non-coding RNA (CANN_LNC021113)
Source: RNAcentral